Molecule: non-coding RNA, 750 nt
Organism: Taeniopygia guttata (zebra finch)
Lineage: Eukaryota; Metazoa; Chordata; Aves; Passeriformes; Estrildidae
Source: RefSeq, a predicted model, not a curated record
CCCCAGGUGUGUUUUGGGUGUGCCCAGGUGUGCCCAGGUGUGCCCAGGUGUGCCCCUAGCAGGGUGAUGUGGACAGGUGAGGGUGUGUCACCCCUCUCUGGGGGUACUUUAUCGCCGGGGGGUAGUUCUGGGUGUGCCCAGGUGUGCCCAGGUGUGCCCAGGUGUGCCCAGGUGUGCCCAGGUGUGCCCAGGUGUGCCAUAGACACACUCAGGUGUAUCAUAGACAUACCCAGGUGUGCCCAGGUGUGCCCAGGUGUGCCCAGGUGUGCCCUAACACGGUGAUGUGGACAGGUGAGGGUGUGGCACCCCUCUCUGGGGGUACUUGAUGGCCGGGGGGUAGUUCUGGGUGUGCCCAGGUGUAUCUCAGGUAUAUCCCAGGUGUGCCCAGGUGUGCCCAGGUGUGCCCAGGUGUGCCCUAGCAGGGUGAUGUGGACAGGUGAGGGUGUGGCACCCCUCUCUGGGGGUACUUUAUCCCCGGGGGGUAGUUCUGGCUGUGCCAUAGACACACUCAGGUGUAUCUCAGGUAUAUCCCAGGUGUGCCCAGGUGUGCCCAGGUGUGCCCAGGUGCCCCUAGCAGGGUGAUGUGGACAGGUGAGGGUGUGGCACCCCUCUCUGGGGGUACUUUAUCGCCGGGGGGUAGUUCUGGGUGUGCCAUAGACACACUCAGGUGUAUCAUAGACAUACCCAGGUGUGCCCAGGUGUGCCCAGGUGUGCCCUAGCAGGGUGAUGUGGACAGGUGAGGGUGUGGCA